CGGGAUUGCUCAUUUGUUACUGAAGUUUGGAACUUGCUGAAUAUAAAAUGGAACGGGGUGAGAGGGGAACAAUCUUUCCAGGAUUGGCUAAAGGGAAUUUUCAAUGCAUCAUCGGAGGAUACUUGUUGUCGGAUAACAUGUGAUAUGGUUCAUCUGGUCAGAGAGGAAUAGGUGGGUCCAUGACAGAGUUUUUUCAUCGACACAACAGAUUGCACAUAAGAUUUUACAGUAUUUACAGGAACUAAGGGGGAUUCAGAAGAAGUUACCUAUAUCGCCGGUGGGUUUUGAAAUAUGGAAACCGCCGGAGGAUCCUUAUAUCAAAAUAAACUUUGAUACAACGCUUCUUGAGAGUUCUUCAAAGUCUUGUUCAGGUAUAGUUAUCAGAG
This 386-nucleotide long non-coding RNA is filed under the name Gossypium barbadense (sea-island cotton). RNAcentral's name for it is "long non-coding RNA (GBAR_LNC019208)". The record is from RNAcentral. Lineage: Eukaryota; Viridiplantae; Streptophyta; Magnoliopsida; Malvales; Malvaceae.